This 492-nucleotide ribosomal RNA is filed under the name uncultured bacterium. Its description in RNAcentral is "partial 16S ribosomal RNA". It matches the Rfam family "Bacterial small subunit ribosomal RNA", at positions 29 to 507 of the family's 1533-position model. The record is from RNAcentral.
AGUGAACGCUGGCGGUAGGCCUAACACAUGCAAGUCGAACGGCAGCACAGUAAGAGCUUGCUCUUACGGGUGGCGAGUGGCGGACGGGUGAGGAAUACAUCGGAAUCUACUUUUUCGUGGGGGAUAACGUAGGGAAACUUACGCUAAUACCGCAUACGACCUACGGGUGAAAGCAGGGGAUAUUCGGACCUUGCGCGAUUGAAUGAGCCGAUGUCGGAUUAGCUAGUUGGCGGGGUAAAGGCCCACCAAGGCGACGAUCCGUAGCUGGUCUGAGAGGAUGAUCCGCCACACUGGAACUGAGACACGGUCCAGACUCCUACGGGAGGCAGCAGUGGGGAAUAUUGGACAAUGGGCGCAAGCCUGAUCCAGCCAUACCGCGUGGGUGAAGAAGGCCUUCGGGUUGUAAAGCCCUUUUGUUGGGAAAGAAAAGCAGCAGGUUAAUACCCCGCUGUUCUGACGGUACCCAAAGAAUAAGCACCGGCUAACUUCGUG